Octodon degus (degu) is the source of this 775-nucleotide RNA transcript. It is a transcript of the gene named mortality factor 4-like protein 1 pseudogene, with no coding region annotated. Lineage: Eukaryota; Metazoa; Chordata; Mammalia; Rodentia; Octodontidae. The transcript has 2 exons. The record is from RefSeq and is a predicted model, not a curated record.
AUGGGGGUAAAGGGGGUAUAUGGGGCCAGGGAAGUGAACAAGGGGGUGGUCAGUACCAGUGAAACACCUCAGCCUCCUCGGAAGAAGAGGGCCCGGGUUGAUCCUACUGUUGAAAAUGAAGAAACAUUUAUGAACAGAGUUGAAGUUAAAGUAAAGAUCCCUGAAGAGCUAAAGCCGUGGCUUGUUGAUGACUGGGAUCUGAUCACCAGACAGAAACAGCUGUUCUAUCUUCCUGCUAAGAAGAAUGUGGACUCCAUUCUAGAGGACUAUGCAAAUUAUAAGAAAUCCCAAGGAAACACAGAUAAUAAGGAGUAUGCUGUUAAUGAGGUGGUAGCAGGGAUAAAAGAAUACUUCAAUGUGAUGCUGGGCACUCAGCUCCUCUACAAAUUUGAGAGACCACAGUACGCUGAGAUCCUUGCUGAUCACCCUGAUGCACCCAUGUCCCACGUGUUUGGAGCACCACAUCUACUGAGAUUAUUUGUCCGAAUUGGAGCAAUGUUGGCCUAUACACCUCUGGAUGAGAAGAGCCUUGCUUUAUUACUGAAUUAUCUUCAUGAUUUCCUCAAGUAUCUGGCAAAGAAUUCGGCAACUUUGUUUAGUGCCAGUGAUUAUGAAGUGGCCCCUCCUGAGUACCAUCGGAAAGCAGUGUGAGGCGCACUCACCGGUGUUUGGAUCUCUGUCGACAUGUUUUUGUUCCUAGUCUUUCUCUUGUACAAAUGAUGUACUUUGAAGAUGUUAGUGUAUAACAGAGUUGUUUGUUUUGUUUGAUUUUAAA